GCGGAGGAAAAGAAACCAACAGGGAUUGCUCUAGUAACGGCGAGUGAAGCAGCAAUAGCUCAAAUUUGAAAUCUGGCGUCUUCGACGUCCGAGUUGUAAUUUGUAGAGGAUGCUUCUGAGUGGCCACCGACCUAAGUUCCUUGGAACAGGACGUCAUAGAGGGUGAGAAUCCCGUAUGCGGUCGGAAAGGCGCUCUAUACGUAGCUCCUUCGACGAGUCGAGUUGUUUGGGAAUGCAGCUCUAAAUGGGAGGUAAAUUUCUUCUAAAGCUAAAUAUUGGCCAGAGACCGAUAGCGCACAAGUAGAGUGAUCGAAAGAUGAAAAGCACUUUGGAAAGAGAGUUAAAAAGCACGUGAAAUUGUUAAAAGGGAAGGGAUUGCAACCAGACUUGCUCGCGGUGUUCCGCCGGUCUUCUGACCGGUCUACUCGCCGCGUUGCAGGCCAGCAUCGUCUGGUGCCGCUGGAUAAGACUUGAGGAAUGUAGCUCCCUCGGGAGUGUUAUAGCCUCUUGUGAUGCAGCGAGCGCCGGGCGAGGUCCGCGCUCGGCUAGGAUG
RNAcentral lists this ribosomal RNA (553 nucleotides) under Cladosporium herbarum. RNAcentral describes it as "partial large subunit ribosomal RNA". It matches the Rfam family "Eukaryotic large subunit ribosomal RNA", at positions 50 to 524 of the family's 3401-position model. The record is from RNAcentral. Lineage: Eukaryota; Fungi; Ascomycota; Dothideomycetes; Cladosporiales; Cladosporiaceae.